Daphnia magna is the source of this 786-nucleotide long non-coding RNA. RefSeq lists it as uncharacterized. Lineage: Eukaryota; Metazoa; Arthropoda; Branchiopoda; Diplostraca; Daphniidae. The transcript is spliced from 2 exons. The record is from RefSeq and is a predicted model, not a curated record.
CCUAACACGUCAUCAAAGAGAUUAAUCAAAAGGGAAUGUGUUUACUAGAUUGCAAGUAUUCAAUGGGGAUCAAUCAAUUUAUACGUUUCGUUCGAUCUUUCCACUCGAACUCAUCGGAAAGUCGGUCACCAUGUAAUCACUGUCGUCUGCUGUUAAUUGAAAAGGGCAGCCAAUCAGACGAAAAAUAGCGUCACCCAAGAGUUGGUCACAUCCUCCUAAUCACAUUACGGCUAACUCAAGAUGAAGGAUACUGACGCUAUUUGUCGUGUCAUUAAUUACUCAGACGAUUGAAAGAGAUGAAAAAUAAAAUGCUCGCCAACGGUGCAAUUUCGAUGACAUUUAAAACUCGUCAAUCAUCCACUCAAUUUUGUUGGCGACAGCAUUUACAGCGAUGCCAUUGAAAUAUGAAUAAGCGAAAUUUCGUUUUCUUUGAUUCCUGAUUUUUUUGUAGUCUGCUGUAAGCGAUAGCAUGGCGGAGUCGACGGCAAACAACUCUCGGAAUCCAGUCAAUGCAAAACAUCUAUUCUAUUCUUGAUCGUCUAAUUUGGUCGAGUGCUUUCAAGUGGCUGUAGCAAGUGGGGGAGCUAGAUAAAUUUCGACAGCAUGCUUCAAUGGCUGCCACCUACUUCGUCAAGGCCAUUGGAUCCUAGCAGACAGUCAUCUCAUCAAAUCUACCUAAAGUCAGUUCAUUGUUGAGUUCACUAGCUCGCAGUAAUGAGCGAGAAGAAUACGAUUCCAUUUUCGUGAACAAACUAGUGGAAAAGAUAUGGAACAGUAAAACUUAGU